GAUCACGUAAAAUUUUAAUAGUCGAACAGACUAAAUUAAUAUAGCUUCUUCACCAAAAAUUAAUUUUAAUUCAACAUCGAGGUCUCAAUCCUAAUUAUCAAUAAGAACUUCCUAAUUAGAUAAAGCUGUUAACCCUAAAGUAACUUUUAAUACUUCAUUUAUUUUUUAUAAAAAUCUUUUCUUCAUUAAUUUCCCCAAUUAAAAAUUAUACAAUUAUAAGCUUUUAGGGUCUUCUCGUCCCCAAGAUUAAUAAAAGCAUUUUUACUUUUAAUUAAAUUUCAAAAUUAUAAAAUAAAACUAUCCUUUAAAAUCUCUACCUUUCAUACCAGUUUUCAAUUAAAAAA
RNAcentral lists this ribosomal RNA (344 nucleotides) under Manaosbiidae sp. MZSP 72927. RNAcentral describes it as "partial large subunit ribosomal RNA". The record is from RNAcentral. Lineage: Eukaryota; Metazoa; Arthropoda; Arachnida; Opiliones; Manaosbiidae.